UGGGGAAUUUUGGACAAUGGGCGAAAGCCUGAUCCAGCAAUGCCGCGUGUGUGAAGAAGGCCUUCGGGUUGUAAAGCACUUUUGUCCGGAAAGAAAUCCUUGGCUCUAAUACAGUCGGGGGAUGACGGUACCGGAAGAAUAAGCACCGGCUAACUACGUGCCAGCAGCCGCGGUAAUACGUAGGGUGCAAGCGUUAAUCGGAAUUACUGGGCGUAAAGCGUGCGCAGGCGGUUUGCUAAGACCGAUGUGAAAUCCCCGGGCUCAACCUGGGAACUGCAUUGGUGACUGGCAGGCUAGAGUAUGGCAGAGGGGGGUAGAAUUCCACGUGUAGCAGUGAGAUGCGUAGAGAUGUGGAGGAAUACCGAUGGCGAAGGCAGCCCCCUGGGCCAAUACUGACGCUCAUGCACGAAAGCGUGGGGAGCAAAACAGGAUUAGAUACCCUGGUAGUCCACGCCCUAAAACGAUGUCAACUAGUUGUUGGGGAUUCAUUUCCUUAGUAACGUAGCUAACGCGUGAAGUUGACCGCCUGGGGAGUACGGUCGCAAGAUUAAAACUCAAAGGAAUUGACGGGGUCAUAGCUGUUUCCU
This 587-nucleotide ribosomal RNA is filed under the name uncultured bacterium. Its description in RNAcentral is "partial 16S ribosomal RNA". It matches the Rfam family "Bacterial small subunit ribosomal RNA", at positions 355 to 1375 of the family's 1533-position model. The record is from RNAcentral.